This is a long non-coding RNA of Stegostoma tigrinum, 326 nucleotides long. RefSeq lists it as uncharacterized. NCBI's taxonomy places the organism in Eukaryota, Metazoa, Chordata, Chondrichthyes, Orectolobiformes, Stegostomatidae. The record is from RefSeq and is a predicted model, not a curated record. The transcript has 3 exons.
CAGUGAAGUAAUUGUUGAAUACGACUCUGCGAGAGCCCUCCAGUUCUUCUGCAAAGAAACAUAGGAACUCUCCAGUUGUUCACUGAAAUGGCCGAGUUGGUGAGGAUUUAAUAUUUUAAUAAUCUCAAAGCUGAACACCAAACACAUCUCCAAAGCAUGUACUUACAGUUUUCAGAGAUGGGAAGGACAACAAACUCCCCCUUAAGAAGAGGUUUGAUGUGCCCAGGCCUGCCGAGCUUUCGCAGUGAUUUCUGUUUGCUUACUGAUUUACAACAUCCACAGUUCUUUGGCAUUUUUGUAUAGAAUUUUUCAUAGUUGAUGAGGAC